AAAGCGGGGGCAACCCCGCAAGUAGAGUGGCGAACGGGUGAGUAAUACAUCGGAACGUGUCCAGUAGUGGGGGAUAACCUCUCGAAAGAGAGGCUAAUACCGCAUACGACCUACGGGUGAAAGAGGGGGAUCGCAAGACCUCUCACUAUUGGAGCGGCCGAUGUCGGAUUAGCUAGUUGGCGGGGUAAAAGCCCACCAAGGCUACGAUCCGUAGCUGGUCUGAGAGGACGACCAGCCACACUGGAACUGAGACACGGUCCAGACUCCUACGGGAGGCAGCAGUGGGGAAUUUUGGACAAUGGGCGCAAGCCUGAUCCAGCCAUGCCGCGUGAGUGAAGAAGGCCUUCGGGUUGUAAAGCUCUUUCGGCUGGGACGAAAAGGUCCGUGUCAACACCACGGAUCCAUGACGGUACCAGCAGAAGAAGCACCGGCUAACUACGUGCCAGCAGCCGCGGUAAUACGUAGGGUGCAGGCGUUAAUCGGAAUUACUGGGCGUAAAGCGUGCGCAGGCGGUUUGCUAAGACAGGUGUGAAAUCCCCGGGCUUAACCUGGGAACUGCGCUUGUAACUGGCAAGCUGGAGUGUGGCAGAGGGGGGUGGAAUUCCACGUGUAGCAGUGAAAUGCGUAGAGAUGUGGAGGAACACCGAUGGCGAAGGCAGCCCCCUGGGCUAACACUGACGCUCAUGCACGAAAGCGUGGGGAGCAAACAGGAUUAGAUACCCUGGUAGUCCACGCCCUAAACUAUGUCAACUGGUUGUCGGGGAAGCAAUUCCUUGGUAACGAAGCUAACGCGUGAAGUUGACCGCCUGGGGAGUAC
This 817-nucleotide ribosomal RNA is filed under the name uncultured beta proteobacterium. RNAcentral's name for it is "bacterial SSU rRNA". It matches the Rfam family "Bacterial small subunit ribosomal RNA", at positions 70 to 883 of the family's 1533-position model. Lineage: Bacteria; Pseudomonadati; Pseudomonadota; Betaproteobacteria. The record is from RNAcentral.